AAGAAUUGGCUUACAAUCGCCACUUCACACAAUGAACAUAUAACUCAUACAUCAAUCAGAGUACACACAUGGUCCAUGGUCCGACUACGGACGAAGCCAAAAGAAAUGAAGAUAACCCAACUGCUAGAUCCCCGAUCGUCCCAACUGGGCUCCACUACUGAUCAACAAUAAACAAAACAUAGCAACAACUGAGAUCUUCUUUGAGCUCCCAUCUGAGCUCGGUUGCGUCACCUGCACUUGUAUCAUCGGCACCUGCAACUGUUGUGAUAGUAUCUGGUGAGUCACGAGGACUCAGCAAUCUCAAAACCCGCGAGAUCAAGACUAUUUAAGCUUAUGGGAAAGGAAGGGGUAAAGUGGUGAGGUUGCAGCAGCGACUAAGCAUAUAUGGUGGCUGACAUACGCAAAUAAGAGCGAGAAGAGAGCAAGAGGAACGGUCAUGAAGCUAGCAAUGAUCAAGAAGUGAUCCUAAACUCCUACUUACGUCAAACAUAACCCAGAAACUGUGUUCACUUCCCAGACUCCGCCGGAAAGAGACCAUCACGGCUACACACACAGUUGAUGUAUUUUAAAGAGGUCAAGUGUCAAGUUAUCUACAACCGGACAUUAACAAAUUCCCAUCUGCCUCAUAACCGUGGGCAUGGCUUUCGAAAGAUUAUAUACCCUGCAGGGGUGUCCCAACUCAGCCCAUCACAAGCUCUCACCGUCAACGAAGGAAUAGACCUUCUCCCGGGAAGACCCGAUCAGUCUCGGAAUCCCGGUUCGCAAAACAUUUCAACAAUGGUAAAACAAGACCAGCAAAGCCGCUCGAUGUGCCAACAAAUCCCGAUAGGAGCUGCACAUAUCUCGUUCUCAGGGCAACACCGGAUGAGACAUCCUACAAGUAAAACCAACCCUCAAGUUUCCCCGAGGUGGCCCCGCAGUCUACUCAGUUCGGACCAACACUCGAAGGAGCACUGGCCCGAGGGGGGGGGGGUUAAAUAAAGAUGACCCUCGGGCUCGCGAAAACCCAAGGGAAAAGGGCUUAGGUGGCAAAUGGUAAAACCAAGGUUGGGCCUUGCUGGAGGAGUUUUAUUCAAAGCGAACUGUUAAGGGGGUCCCAUAAAUCACCCAACCGUGUAAGGAACGCAAACUCAAGGAACAUAACACCGGUAUACGGAACUAGGGCGGCAAGAGUGGAACAAGUCACCGGGCAUAAGGCCAGGCCUUCCACCCUUUACCAAGUAUAUAAGGUGCAUUAAUGUAAACAGGAGAUAUUGUGAUAUCCCAAAAAAACCCAUGUUCCGACCUGGAACAAACUUCAUCUUCACCUGCAGCUAACAAUGCUAUAAGAGGGGCUGAGCAAAAGCGGUGACAUAGCCAAUCAAUGGUUGCUAGGACAGGAUGGUUAGAGGUUUAUCAUGGCAAUAGGGAGGCAUGGUAAACAAAGGCAGGUAGGGCUAACAUAGCGAAAGAGCGAGUACUAGCAAGCAAAGAUAGUAAUGAUUUCGAAGGUAUGAUCAUCUUGCCUGAAAUCCCGCAAGGAAAAAGAACGAGUCCAUGAAGAAGACAAACAGACGUAGUCGAACGAAUCCUCACAACUCCGGAACAAAACCGAAGCUAACGAGAGAAACAAACCGGAAAGGAGCAAACAAUAUGGUAAACACACAAGCACAUAAGCAUGGCAUGAUGCACAAACAAGUAUGAUGCAUGUCCGGUUUAAAGAGGCAUGGCAUGGCAAUAUGCAACAAACAAUACUACAAAUUAAGUGGAGCUCAAUAUGCAAUGAGUUGCAUAUUGACGGAACACCACAUCAAUUAUUUAGUUCUCUCUUGUUUAAGUUACCAAACAAUAUUAAAUGUUGUUAAGCAUGGCAAGAGGUGAAACAUAAUUAAACUACCUAUCUAGACAAGUUUAAAUGAGGCCGGAAAUAACAAACAUCAAUUCCGGAAAUCCCCAUAUCAUUUAGCAAUUUAAUGCAAACACAGUUUUAACCAUUUAAAUGUUGUUAUCAUGAUGCGAAUGACAUAUACAAGUUUAUGCAAUUUUAUGAAAACGUUGACAAGAGCAGGUUAUGAAGCAUUUGGUCACCAUGGCGGAACAAAAGGGGUGCCACGGCAACGAUAACGAAAAUGGUGCCACGGCAACGAUAGCGAAAAUGGUGCCACGGCAACAUAUCCGAAAAUGGUGCCACGGCAACAUAUCGGUUCCGGUAGCUCACGGAGAUACCGGUGCAAAAGGAAGCGUGCGGAUGAGCGCAACAUGCAAGAUGGUGGGGUGAUCCCGGAUUCCGGGUUCCCACGGGAUGACGACAUGGCAAGCGAGGAGGAACUUGCAAGGUCAAACGGGCACGGUGCAAACAUAGCGUACAUCUCAUACAUGCAAGGGCAUCUCAUCACGGUCGUCUCGGGUUAUACCUUCGAAGCGUG
RNAcentral lists this long non-coding RNA (2405 nucleotides) under Triticum aestivum (bread wheat). RNAcentral's name for it is "long non-coding RNA (TAES_LNC022706)". Lineage: Eukaryota; Viridiplantae; Streptophyta; Magnoliopsida; Poales; Poaceae. The record is from RNAcentral.